AUAUAACUACAUAUACACAUGGUAUGUGAUGAGAUGAGGUUCCUAUGUCCGAAAUGUACAACAAUGCAUGUUGAGUAGCAUAGGAGAACAAGUCAAAAACAACGAUUAGGGCACGAAACUACCACGCAAACAAGACGAAUCAACCAGACACUUUGAAGCAGAGAAAAUCAAUGGAUAUCCGCUCAGCAACACCAUUGUUGUGGUUGUCUCUCUCAUGACUACUCCUACUCCACACUAAGGACUAAUAGGCCCAAGACGGUUUCUUUGUAGUCAAUAGUAGGGGAAUUGUACUGAGAUGUCUAGAGCUGAUCUUAUUCAGAAAAGCUCUUACUUUAGAGUUUCAGAAACGAGAGGGCGUGACAUUAAUCUUGGUGAAUUGUCAGCAUAUGGCAAUGUUUGCAAAGGACAAGAUUCUGGAGGAUGUAGCAUGCAAUGAUUAGGUAUCAUCGUCGUAUGUUCCUAUUAUGUUCUGUUAUAAUUCUAGAUCGAAAACUGUAUUUGGUUUUGUUCUACUUUCCAGCCAUUCACAGUUUAAACUAGGGGUGAGUAGAAAACCAAAAUAACCGAAAAAACCAAACCGAAACAAAAACCGACGGUUCGGUUUUCGGAUAACCAUUUUCAAUAACCGAAAAAACCGAACCAAUAAGUCUCAAUAGUAGGCCUAGUCUAUAUAGUAUAUAUUCUUAUGUUUAAGUUUAAGUUGUUUAAGUGUUUAAUCCAUGCUAGGAGGAAUUAUUAAUUUUUAUUCUUGAAUGUUAAGUAUUUAUAAUAAAAACAUUAACAUGUUUGUUUAUAAUUAUAAUUGAAAUGAUUUAUCUAUUGCCUACCAGAAAUAACAAAAUUUAAUAUAAAAGUUAAAUGAUCUUCUAAGUAUUAUAAAAGAAAAUGUCUUAAUAAAAACUUUAAAUAAACAUAAAAAUAGAUUAGAAGGCUAGAUUUAUGUGAACACAAUUAAUUAAAAAGGUUGAAUAUAAUAACUUAAAUCUAAACAUCUAAGAAAGAUUCUUAAAUUUUGGAUUAUACUAUUGAUUUUUAAAUCUUACGUAUUUUUGUUCCAAAAACCGAAAAACUGAACCGAAUCGUUGCUAAAACCGAAAAAACCGAACCCGAACGGUUUUUAAAAACCAAAAACCGAACAUUUCGGUUACGGUUUUACCAUAAAACCGAACCGUGCACACCCUAGUUUAAAUAUAUGUGCUAUCUUUAGGGUUGAGUAAACUGUGGUAACUUUGGAAUAAUGUAACUCAUUUUUCCUGCAAAAACACUUAUCCAAUAUGUCCACUACUACUUCCCUUUACAACUUUACCUUUUCUUUAUAAACACAUUCACUUUAAUGGACUACCUAAGAGAAGCACUAACCAUUAGAAAUCAAUCACACAAGUGGGACUUUGACUUUUCUGUUAUAGUGAUUGACCAUUGACCUUUUUGCACUUGUGUUAAUCUGUGUCCACAUAGGUUUGCAAAAUUCCCAAGAAAAUAUUAAUAAAAGAUGCCAUUUUUUCUCAUAUUUACUGCUUGAUUCCCUCUCCAGAAGCAGCCAUGAGCUUGCUUUUCCGAUCGACGAUAUCCACAUGAUCAAUAAACGUAAUCGGAUAUUAUGAUUAUUAUCCGAGCUUGUGAGAUAAUGUUACAAUUGAGUGGCCUAUAUCUACGCAUUUAGUUCUCAACUUGACGAAAAUUCCAAAGUGUAGUAUACUUAACUUUCCUAUAAUUCGACAACAACGGACCCAAUUAUAUGUGAGCUGUUGAUUCGGUUAUAUGGAUCAUUUAAAACCGUCACAUUAAAUCUGGACCAUUGUAGUUCCACCACUACUUUAUAUAAAGCAAGAAAGCAAAAAGGUAACAAUGCCCAUUACAAAAGAUAUAGAUAUAUAUAUAUAUAUAUGGCAUUUUGGGUCCACAUAACAACUCAUACUACACAGAUAAUGUGGCCACAAUUUGUUCAGGACCUGAAAAUAUCUUCAUCCUUUUCAUGGCUGCUUCUCUUGAUUUUGAUGUGCCCACAAAGAAUAACCAAGAUUUACGCCUCUUGAGUCGAUAUAAAGAUAUCGUGAUAGAUACCCUAAAUUAAUGGUCCCAUGACAGCCUUCGUGGUUAACGUUAAUGGUAGCUACGACAACUGUUAUUGCAGGAAAGUAAUUGCAGAAAGUUUACAAAAAUCUGGACAUC
Helianthus annuus (common sunflower) is the source of this 2169-nucleotide long non-coding RNA. RefSeq lists it as uncharacterized. NCBI's taxonomy places the organism in Eukaryota, Viridiplantae, Streptophyta, Magnoliopsida, Asterales, Asteraceae. The record is from RefSeq and is a predicted model, not a curated record. The transcript has 3 exons.